This 245-nucleotide ribosomal RNA is filed under the name uncultured bacterium. RNAcentral describes it as "partial 16S ribosomal RNA". It matches the Rfam family "Bacterial small subunit ribosomal RNA", at positions 791 to 1035 of the family's 1533-position model. The record is from RNAcentral.
UAGUCCACGCUGUAAACGAUGUCGAUUUGGAGGUUGUGCCCUUGAGGCGUGGCUUCCGGAGCUAACGCGUUAAAUCGACCGCCUGGGGAGUACGGCCGCAAGGUUAAAACUCAAAUGAAUUGACGGGGGCCCGCACAAGCGGUGGAGCAUGUGGUUUAAUUCGAUGCAACGCGAAGAACCUUACCUACUCUUGACAUCCACAGAACUUUCCAGAGAUGGAUUGGUGCCUUCGGGAACUGUGAGAC